GAUGAACGCUAGCGGCAGGCUUAAUACAUGCAAGUCGUGGGGCAGCAGGUUUGUAGCAAUACAGAUGCUGGCGACCGGCAAACGGGUGCGGAACACGUACAGAACCUUCCUUUGAGCGGGGAAUAGCCCAGAGAAAUUUGGAUUAAUACCCCAUAGUAUAAUGAAGUGGCAUCACUUUAUUAUUAAAGAUUUAUCACUCGAAGAUGGCUGUGCGGCUGAUUAGGUAGUUGGCGGGGUAAAGGCCCACCAAGCCUGCGAUCAGUAACUGGUGUGAGAGCACGACCAGUCACACGGGCACUGAGACACGGGCCCGACUCCUACGGGAGGCAGCAGUAAGGAAUAUUGGUCAAUGGAGGCAACUCUGAACCAGCCAUGCCGCGUGGAGGAUGAAGGUCCUCUGGAUUGUAAACUUCUUUUAUAUGGGACGAAAAAAGGCUUUUCUAAGUCGUCUGACGGUACCAUAUGAAUAAGCACCGGCUAACUCCGU
Molecule: ribosomal RNA, 487 nt
Filed under: uncultured bacterium
Lineage: Bacteria
Description: bacterial SSU rRNA
Rfam family: Bacterial small subunit ribosomal RNA
Source: RNAcentral